Choloepus didactylus (southern two-toed sloth) is the source of this 985-nucleotide RNA transcript. It is a transcript of the gene named killer cell lectin-like receptor subfamily I member 1, with no coding region annotated. The transcript has 9 exons. The record is from RefSeq and is a predicted model, not a curated record. NCBI's taxonomy places the organism in Eukaryota, Metazoa, Chordata, Mammalia, Pilosa, Megalonychidae.
GUCUUGCCUGGAGGUUCUUAUGCCAGAUAACCAGCUGUAUGAUUUCAUUAGUUCCAGUUUGCACCAAUUUUAUAUUUUUUCACACCUAUGAUUCUUCUACAAACUUUUCAAAUAUACUCUUCAAGUUGACAUUAAAGAGAAAAAGCUACAAUUUAUCAAGACUGAGCAGAAGCAAUCCAAGUCUUCCCAGGAAAAAAAAAAAUGCCUAAGAAUAAGCAAAAAGAUAUGGUAAAUAGGGAAGAGGUAACCUAUACAGAACUUAAAUUCUCCAAAUCUCAACAGAAGCAAAGAAUACUCAAGACUGACCAGAGCACUGUUAUAUCAAGUGAACAGCAAACAAAUUAUAUGGAACUGAAAUUUCACAAAUCUUACCUCCAGCAAAGAAAAUGGUUUGUUAGGGGAAAAAGAAAAGAUCACCAGUCUCCAUCAUGGAAAGUGAUUGCUGGAAGCCUGGGAGUUUUGUUUAUGGUCUUGAUGACAAUAGUGGGUGUCUUGCUUGCAAACUUAUUUUCUGCAAGAGAAGAACAAAAGAGAAAAAUCUCAAUAAUUCCUACUCUAUCUUCUAAAAAUGAAUGUUCCUGUGAUCUUUGUCAAGACCACUGGAUUGGAUUUGGAAAUAGUUGUUAUCAUCUUUCCAAUGAAACCAAAACCUGGCUAGAGAGCCAUGCUACCUGUGAGGAGCUGAAUUCCCAUCUUCUGAAGAUAGACGUCAGGGAAGAGCUGGAAAUCUUAUCAGUGUUUGGAAUUGAAGGAUGGAUUAGCCUCAAAAUGAAUGAAACCAAUGGGUCCUGGCUAUGGGAAGAUGGCACAAAAGUGGUCCAAAGCCUGUACAAAGGACUCCCCUUGAAAAUGAUCACAGGGCUGCCUAGCUUACAUCAGCUAUAGCAGGCCUCUGUAGGAGAGUCACCAGCCCCCCUACCAAUGGACGCAUGACUUUCUGGCUGACAAAGAACUGAAUCUGGCCAAGAACCCAAAGAGGAAGCAA